UUUGUACACCCGGUAAGUCGAAAACCCGCAAGGGCGGCUUAGGCAAAAAUGGGUAUCCCGGUGGAUUGAAAACCCGAAAGGGCGAUCCAGACAAAAGUUAGGGAUUAAAGCGAAGACUACAGUCUGAGUUGUCUGUACUUCAUCAAGCUUUAUCAUCUGCCAUCUCGAAAGAUAUGAUCUGUCCAGUCAUUCUUCUCAGAAAGCAAGGAGUUGGGAGGAAAACUGAUGAUCUGUGAGUUAUAACAGAAUUGGGAAAUAGUGG
RNAcentral lists this long non-coding RNA (262 nucleotides) under Lathyrus oleraceus (garden pea). RNAcentral's name for it is "Pisum sativum (pea) long non-coding RNA (PSAT_LNC041183)". The record is from RNAcentral. Lineage: Eukaryota; Viridiplantae; Streptophyta; Magnoliopsida; Fabales; Fabaceae.